GGCCCCUUGGUCAAGCGGUUAAGACAUCGCCCUUUCACGGCGGAGACAUGGGUUCGAUUCCCGUAGGGGUCACCA
RNAcentral lists this transfer RNA (75 nucleotides) under Clostridium sp. CAG:389. Its description in RNAcentral is "transfer RNA-Glu(TTC)". It matches the Rfam family "tRNA". Rfam says of the family: Transfer RNA (tRNA) molecules are approximately 80 nucleotides in length. Their secondary structure includes four short double-helical elements and three loops (D, anti-codon, and T loops). Further hydrogen bonds mediate the characteristic L-shaped molecular structure. tRNAs have two regions of fundamental functional importance: the anti-codon, which is responsible for specific mRNA codon recognition, and the 3' end, to which the tRNAs corresponding amino acid is attached (by aminoacyl-tRNA synthetases). tRNAs cope with the degeneracy of the genetic code in two manners: having more than one tRNA (with a specific anti-codon) for a particular amino acid; and 'wobble' base-pairing, i.e. permitting non-standard base-pairing at the 3rd anti-codon position. The record is from RNAcentral. RNAcentral also lists the same sequence under 10 other names. Lineage: Bacteria; Bacillati; Bacillota; Clostridia; Eubacteriales; Clostridiaceae.